GUUCGCUUUGGCAGCACAUAUCCUAAAAUUGGAACGAGAUAGAGAUGAUUAGCAUGCCCCCUGCACAAGGAUGGCACACAGAUUCAUGAAGCAGUCCAUGUUUUU
Small nuclear RNA from Balaenoptera musculus (blue whale), 105 nucleotides. NCBI's taxonomy places the organism in Eukaryota, Metazoa, Chordata, Mammalia, Artiodactyla, Balaenopteridae. The record is from Ensembl.